CCAGUUUGUGAUGGCCACGACCGAGGCUUCAAUGCUCCAUCCUCUCUCUCUCUCUCUACAAAUUGCUAGCCGUCAAUUGACUUUUUGGUUUUGGCUCUCUCAAAAUCACACCCUUUCUCUUACAUGAAUAAAAAUAUCCCAACACACAACACAAACCACUUUGCCAACAAACUCUAACUCGAGUCUCCCCUUAUGUUCUUUUCUCCUUUUCAACGCCCUUCACUAGAGGAGCCACUUUGCCUUGUGGCAACAAUUUGAACAACUUUGUGUGUGUGUGAAAUUUGGGGGAUCUAGGAAAAAAAAAAGUUCAAAUUUUAUGUGGCUUAUUCUCAAGCCAUGUUCUUUGCUGGCAGCAAGAGAUUCGUUCACAUCUCUCUAGUGGUGCUUUUGGGUGUCACAAUAUUGCAAACGUGGGUGAGUUGGCACUCAUGUCAAGUUGGGGCCAUUCGUGUAUUACCAUCUAGUGCAAUGGCCAAAGUGAAAUUCAACCAUGGCGUUGAGGAUGAGAAGGUCAAGGAAGAUCUAUUGCAUAAGCACUUCAAUAGAAGAACUUUUGGCCUCAACAAUGGGACCCAAAAGGGAUUUGAUGAAAGCAAGAGAAGAGUGCCCAGUUGCCCGGAUCCUCUUCACAAUUAACAAAUGGGGAAGCUGCAAAAGACUGGCAGAUAUAUGUAACAGGAAAAGCAGGGAUUCAUGCCUUUUCAGCCGUACCUAGCUAUAAAAAUAUAGAAACAAUUAUUUUUUUCCCUUCUUUUCGAAAAUUCAGAAAUAAUAUUAAUGGUACGUACUAUGCUUC
Glycine soja is the source of this 796-nucleotide long non-coding RNA. RefSeq lists it as uncharacterized. The record is from RefSeq and is a predicted model, not a curated record. Lineage: Eukaryota; Viridiplantae; Streptophyta; Magnoliopsida; Fabales; Fabaceae. The transcript has 2 exons.